UCCGUGGUGACGCGGAAUCUGAAAGAAGUCAGCGGCAAAUAUCUGACCCAACGCACAGAAACUUGAUAUAAGGCUACUUACAGGGAUAAGGCUGCAAAAAGAGUCAAAGUCCAAUAACUACUCGGAACUGCAUGUAGUAAAUCAAGUGGGUAUAAGAUGGAAAGACAAUAUG
Molecule: non-coding RNA, 172 nt
Organism: Prevotella sp. CAG:592
Lineage: Bacteria; Pseudomonadati; Bacteroidota; Bacteroidia; Bacteroidales; Prevotellaceae
Source: Rfam